RNAcentral lists this ribosomal RNA (377 nucleotides) under uncultured Glomeromycotina. RNAcentral describes it as "eukaryotic LSU rRNA". Lineage: Eukaryota; Fungi; Glomeromycota. The record is from RNAcentral.
UUGAAAGGGAAACGAUUGAAGUCAGUCGUACCGACGGAAAAUCAGCUCUUCGAGUGCGAACUUGUGGGCGUACGUGAGCUUUAACCGGCCUCGUUGUUUGCGAUGCUUGUGCUUUUUGGGUGUACUUUUUCGUAUGGUUGGCCAACGUCAGUCUCGGUUACCAUAAAAUGAUUGGAGGAAUGUAGCUUCGAUCUUGUAUUGAAGUGUUAUAGCCUCUGGUAGAUGUGGUGAACGAAACUGAGGAUUGCAACGAAUACCCUUCGGGCUAUCCGUCUGACCUCUGAAAGUUGCUUGGGUGCUGAAAGCUUGCUUAUGGUUAUCUAAGUUAACGGUCAAUAGGUUAGAACGUGAUUACAUUCGUUAAGGAUGUUGACGUA